Molecule: transfer RNA, 73 nt
Filed under: Kineosporiaceae bacterium
Lineage: Bacteria; Bacillati; Actinomycetota; Actinomycetes; Kineosporiales; Kineosporiaceae
Description: tRNA-Ala
Rfam family: tRNA
About the family: Transfer RNA (tRNA) molecules are approximately 80 nucleotides in length. Their secondary structure includes four short double-helical elements and three loops (D, anti-codon, and T loops). Further hydrogen bonds mediate the characteristic L-shaped molecular structure. tRNAs have two regions of fundamental functional importance: the anti-codon, which is responsible for specific mRNA codon recognition, and the 3' end, to which the tRNAs corresponding amino acid is attached (by aminoacyl-tRNA synthetases). tRNAs cope with the degeneracy of the genetic code in two manners: having more than one tRNA (with a specific anti-codon) for a particular amino acid; and 'wobble' base-pairing, i.e. permitting non-standard base-pairing at the 3rd anti-codon position.
Source: RNAcentral
GGGGCGUUGGCGCAGUUGGUAGCGCGGCUGCUUUGCAAGCAGCAGGUCACCGGUUCGAGCCCGGUACGCUCCA